This 1517-nucleotide ribosomal RNA is filed under the name metagenome. RNAcentral's name for it is "bacterial SSU rRNA". It matches the Rfam family "Bacterial small subunit ribosomal RNA". The record is from RNAcentral.
AGAGUUUGAUCAUGGCUCAGAUUGAACGCUGGCGGCAGGCCUAACACAUGCAAGUCGAGCGGUAGAGAGAAGCUUGCUUCUCUUGAGAGCGGCGGACGGGUGAGUAAUGCCUAGGAAUCUGCCUGGUAGUGGGGGAUAACGCUCGGAAACGGACGCUAAUACCGCAUACGUCCUACGGGAGAAAGCAGGGGACCUUCGGGCCUUGCGCUAUCAGAUGAGCCUAGGUUGGAUUAGCUAGUUGGUGAGGUAAUGGCUCACCAAGGCGACGAUCCGUAACUGGUCUGAGAGGAUGAUCAGUCACACUGGAACUGAGACACGGUCCAGACUCCUACGGGAGGCAGCAGUGGGGAAUAUUGGACAAUGGGCGAAAGCCUGAUCCAGCCAUGCCGCGUGUGUGAAGAAGGUCUUCGGAUUGUAAAGCACUUUAAGUUGGGAGGAAGGGCAUUAACCUAAUACGUUAGUGUUUUGACGUUACCGACAGAAUAAGCACCGGCUAACUCUGUGCCAGCAGCCGCGGUAAUACAGAGGGUGCAAGCGUUAAUCGGAAUUACUGGGCGUAAAGCGCGCGUAGGUGGUUCGUUAAGUUGGAUGUGAAAUCCCCGGGCUCAACCUGGGAACUGCAUUCAAAACUGACGAGCUAGAGUAUGGUAGAGGGUGGUGGAAUUUCCUGUGUAGCGGUGAAAUGCGUAGAUAUAGGAAGGAACACCAGUGGCGAAGGCGACCACCUGGACUGAUACUGACACUGAGGUGCGAAAGCGUGGGGAGCAAACAGGGUUAGAUACCCUGGUAGUCCACGCCGUAAACGAUGUCAACUAGCCGUUGGGAGCCUUGAGCUCUUAGUGGCGCAGCUAACGCAUUAAGUUGACCGCCUGGGGAGUACGGCCGCAAGGUUAAAACUCAAAUGAAUUGACGGGGGCCCGCACAAGCGGUGGAGCAUGUGGUUUAAUUCGAAGCAACGCGAAGAACCUUACCAGGCCUUGACAUCCAAUGAACUUUCCAGAGAUGGAUUGGUGCCUUCGGGAACAUUGAGACAGGUGCUGCAUGGCUGUCGUCAGCUCGUGUCGUGAGAUGUUGGGUUAAGUCCCGUAACGAGCGCAACCCUUGUCCUUAGUUACCAGCACGUAAUGGUGGGCACUCUAAGGAGACUGCCGGUGACAAACCGGAGGAAGGUGGGGAUGACGUCAAGUCAUCAUGGCCCUUACGGCCUGGGCUACACACGUGCUACAAUGGUCGGUACAGAGGGUUGCCAAGCCGCGAGGUGGAGCUAAUCCCACAAAACCGAUCGUAGUCCGGAUCGCAGUCUGCAACUCGACUGCGUGAAGUCGGAAUCGCUAGUAAUCGCGAAUCAGAAUGUCGCGGUGAAUACGUUCCCGGGCCUUGUACACACCGCCCGUCACACCAUGGGAGUGGGUUGCACCAGAAGUAGCUAGUCUAACCUUCGGGAGGACGGUUACCACGGUGUGAUUCAUGACUGGGGUGAAGUCGUAACAAGGUAGCCGUAGGGGAACCUGCGGCUG